UAAGUCUAAUGUGAAAGCCUUCGGCUCAACCGAAGAAGUGCAUUGGAAACUGGGAGACUGAGUGCAGAAGAGGACAGUGGAACUCCAUGUGUAGCGGUGAAAUGCGUAGAUAUAUGGAAGAACACCAGUGGCGAAGGCGGCUGUCUGGUCUGUAACUGACGCUGAGGCUCGAAAGCAUGGGUAGCGAACAGGAUUAGAUACCCUGGUAGUCCAUGCCGUAAACGAUGAUUACUAAGUGUUGGAGGGUUUCCGCCCUUCAGUGCUGCAGCUAACGCAUUAAGUAAUCCGCCUGGGGAGUACGACCGCAAGGUUGAAACUCAAAAGAAUUGACGGGGGCCCGCACAAGCGGUGGAGCAUGUGGUUUAAUUCGAAGCUACGCGAAGAACCUUACCAGGUCUUGACAUCUUCUGCCAACCUAAGAGAUUAGGCGUUCCCUUCGGGGACAGAAUGACAGGUGGUGCAUGGUUGUCGUCAGCUCGUGUCGUGAGAUGUUGGGUUAAGUCCCGCAACGAGCGCAACCCUUAUUACUAGUUGCCAGCAUUCAGUUGGGCACUCUAGUGAGACUGCCGGUGACAAACCGGAGGAAGGUGGGGACGACGUCAAAUCAUCAUGCCCCUUAUGACCUGGGCUACACACGUGCUACAAUGGAUGGUACAACGAGUUGCGAAACCGCGAGGUUUAGCUAAUCUCUUAAAACCAUUCUCAGUUCGGACUGUAGGCUGCAACUCGCCUACACGAAGUCGGAAUCGCUAGUAAUCGCGGAUCAGCAUGCCGCGGUGAAUACGUUCCCGGGCCUUGUACACACCGCCCGUCACACCAUGAGAGUUUGUAACACCCAAAGCCGGUGGGGUAACCUUUUAGGAGCUAGCCGUCUA
RNAcentral lists this ribosomal RNA (875 nucleotides) under Pediococcus acidilactici. Its description in RNAcentral is "bacterial SSU rRNA". It matches the Rfam family "Bacterial small subunit ribosomal RNA", at positions 584 to 1459 of the family's 1533-position model. The record is from RNAcentral. Lineage: Bacteria; Bacillati; Bacillota; Bacilli; Lactobacillales; Lactobacillaceae.